UACCAGCAUCCCGAGUGGUCGGGACGAUUAUUGGGCCUAAAGCAUCCGUAGUCGGUUCUACAAGUCUUCCGUUAAAUCCACCUGCUUAACAGAUGGGCUGCGGAGGAUACUAUAGAGCUAGGAGGCGGGAGAGGCAAGCGGUACUUAGUGGGUAGGGGUAAAAUCCGUUGAUCCAUUGAAGACCACCAGUGGCGAAGGCGGCUUGCCAGAACGCACUCGACGGUGAGGGAUGAAAGCUGGGGGAGCAAACCGG
This 253-nucleotide ribosomal RNA is filed under the name uncultured bacterium. Its description in RNAcentral is "partial 16S ribosomal RNA". It matches the Rfam family "Archaeal small subunit ribosomal RNA", at positions 474 to 727 of the family's 1478-position model. The record is from RNAcentral.